RNAcentral lists this ribosomal RNA (589 nucleotides) under uncultured Myxococcales bacterium. Its description in RNAcentral is "bacterial SSU rRNA". It matches the Rfam family "Bacterial small subunit ribosomal RNA", at positions 102 to 669 of the family's 1533-position model. Lineage: Bacteria; Pseudomonadati; Myxococcota; Myxococcia; Myxococcales. The record is from RNAcentral.
ACGGGUGCGUAACACGUAGAUAAUCUGCCCUUCAGCGGGGGAUAACGUUCCGAAAGGAGCGCUAAUACCGCAUACAGCAGUUGGUGGUUCGCCAUCGAUUGGCAAAGGCUGGGAUUCGCAAGAACCAGCCACUGGAGGAGGAGUCUGCGGCCCAUCAGCUAGUUGGUAAGGUAAUGGCUUACCAAGGCAAAGACGGGUAGCUGGUCUGAGAGGAUGAUCAGCCACACUGGUACUGGAACACGGACCAGACUCCUACGGGAGGCAGCAGUGGGGAAUCUUGGUCAAUGGGCGCAAGCCUGAACCAGCGACGCCGCGUGAGUGAUGAAGGCCUUCGGGUUGUAAAGCUCUGUGGGGAGAGACGAAAGAAUCGGUUCUAACAGGACCGAAGUUGACGGUAUCUCCUUAGCAAGCACCGGCUAACUCUGUGCCAGCAGCCGCGGUAAGACAGAGGGUGCAAACGUUGCUCGGAAUCACUGGGCGUAAAGGGCGUGUAGGCGGGUAGAUAAGUCGGGCGUGAAAUCCCUAGGCUCAACCUAGGGACUGCACUCGAAACUGUUUAUCUUGAGUGCCGGAGAGGAAAGCGGAAUUC